CAGCGAGCGCCUUUCCUCCUGUCCCGGAGUCCUAGCCUGGCCCGAGCUACCUCCAGGGCGCCCGCUGCUGCGGUGGCAGGAAGUCCCCGGGAACUACAAAUCGAGGCAUGCUGGGAACAUUCUCCCGCUCCUCCCAGGAAAUGUCCUUUGUCCAGCCCUACAGGAAGCCCCAGUGAGGAGUCAGCCGGGCAGCCAGCCAGCGAGCCAGCCAGCCAGCCAGCCAGCCAGCCAGCCAACCAGCCAGCCAGCGGGCCACCCAGCGGCCGCUGCAGCCGCCGCCGCCGCACAAGGGCAGACGCGCUGCGGUGCGGGGCUCGGGCCGGGGCGCUCGGUGCCCUAGCUCCUCGCCGCGCCAGCCGCCUCGCAGCCCACUCAAAUGAGCGGCUUUGGGGCUGCCAUCAGACCGGGCAAAUGACACAAUAAGGACGGGUGGGUGGAGAGAUGG
Molecule: long non-coding RNA, 445 nt
Filed under: Homo sapiens (human)
Lineage: Eukaryota; Metazoa; Chordata; Mammalia; Primates; Hominidae
Description: PREDICTED lncRNA (TCONS_00019175)
Source: RNAcentral